GAUUUUGAUUUUUCUUCUUUUUUUGUUUUUGAUCUUGAUUUUGCUUUUUUUUUUGUGCUUGAAUCUGAACCUAUAGGAUUAGGCAAGUCCUUGUUAUCCCUUUUGACCAAAAUCAAUGUUUUUAUAGAUAAAGUCCUCCACCUAAGAUCUUUCACUUUCAUCUUGUAUGCAAAAAACUUUCUUUGGUAUCAGAUUUCUUU
Molecule: long non-coding RNA, 200 nt
Filed under: Gossypium raimondii (Peruvian cotton)
Lineage: Eukaryota; Viridiplantae; Streptophyta; Magnoliopsida; Malvales; Malvaceae
Description: long non-coding RNA (GRAI_LNC010809)
Source: RNAcentral